GUGGGGAAUAUUGGACAAUGGGCGCAAGCCUGAUCCAGCAAUGCCGCGUGGGUGAAGAAGGUCUUCGGAUCGUAAAGCCCUUUCGACAGGGACGAUGAUGACGGUACCUGUAGAAGAAGCCCCGGCUAACUUCGUGCCAGCAGCCGCGGUAAUACGAAGGGGGCUAGCGUUACUCGGAAUUACUGGGCGUAAAGGGCGCGUAGGCGGCUCUGUUAGUCAGGCGUGAAAUUCCUGGGCUUAACCUGGGGACUGCGCUUGAUACUGCAGGGCUUGAGGCCGAGAGAGGGUGGUGUAAUUCCCAGUGUAGAGGUGAAAUUCGUAGAUAUUGGGAAGAACACCGGUGGCGAAGGCGACCACCUGGCUCGGUUCUGACGCUGAGGCGCGACAGCGUGAGGAGCAAACAGGAUUAGAUACCCUGGUAGUCC
Molecule: ribosomal RNA, 425 nt
Filed under: uncultured bacterium
Lineage: Bacteria
Description: partial 16S ribosomal RNA
Rfam family: Bacterial small subunit ribosomal RNA
Source: RNAcentral